CAGAUCUAUUUAGGUUGCCAACAUGUUUAACAAACCCGACCCAUUUAUACGCAAUACAUUAUCUCCAAAACCGUUUACCUACCUCUCCGAUCCUUUCCCUUUUGUUCCUCCAAAUCCAAACUUUUGAGUUUAUCUGCACCGUGUUUUCCUUUCCAAUUUGGACCUAGAAAUAAAUCUUGUGCGAGAGCAAUCUACAACUUUGUGGUUUUCACAGGUUAGGGUUUUCACCCCGUUUAAUCUUCCCAACAACCACAAUCUUGCAUCUUUUAUUUUAUAUCAAAGAUUCAAAGGUAUGUUCUACUUUUUUUUUUUCUUGUAUUUGGUUCUACAACUGUGUUGAUAUUUGUGGUUCAAUUUUUAUGAGGUAUGUGUUAUGUAGAGAUACCAAUACCUACUGUCGGUUAGUUUAUUGUUAUAAGUCUAUUUAUUUACAUCACUAUCCAACAUACAUGGGGUCUUCAAUGCCGUAUACAUUUUUUUAUUGACUCUGUUAUUUCAUAUUGAUUUUUUUUUCUAUUCAAGUCCAUAUUAUGAAUGAUUAAUUUAAAUUAUGUAUACUACAUUGAUAUAAUCUGGUCAAACAUUGUGAUUAAAUAAAUUCAUUUUACCAUAACACACAUAUAAGGUUAAUAUGCUAAUGUGUUGCAGGAUGCUUCUGAAAUUACUGAACAUAUAAGAUGUGCAUCCAUUUAUGUAUGUUGAAAGAUGCUAAAUAAUCCUAUCUCAGUUGCUGAUUUUUAAGCUAUCUCUAAUACAGUUUAGUUUUGCUCGGUUUAAGAUGUGGACACUAGAUAAUUUUCUUGUGACAUACAAUAUCUUUCAAGUUUGGAUCAACCGAUAUUGUGUUUACUGUUUAGAAACAAUGUAAGCCAAAUGAAGCCGAACAUGUUGUCUCUGCAUGUGUAUCUCACUGGUUUACCAUAUGCUAAUUCUCCAUUUAUAGAAGGAAAUCCAAAUGGUUAUCUCAGCAUGAGGAAGUGUGUUUCUUCUAAACAUGCUAAAGGACAUAAGGUAAUAUGACCAUAUAAAAAGUAAAUUUCUUACUUAUGGACUGUACAAUAUUUUGUUUAUAGGUCAGGUUUGGUUUUUAAAAUACUUAUCUGAUUGUGACCAUCUGCAUUGAUUUUCUAUUUAGUUCGAUGUCGGAUUUGCCCAAAAGUUUUGAACAUCAUCGGGGUAUUCAAAAUCAAAAGACUUGGGAAGUGGGUAUUUGCUACAUGGAGCCGGAGGUUAGGUUGCCCACCUGAAACUGUAGCUGAAUUUGAUCAAAGAAACUGUCAAUUUUGAAUGGACCAGAUUACGUCUCGUAUUAGCAUGUGGCUCUAAACCUAAGGGGAUCGGGACCAGAAUUGGCCAAUUGGGUUGGCUGGGGUUUGAUCGAUGGUUCAGAUCCAUCUAUCACUAUAAAACAUGCGAGUUUGGGAAGAGUCGAUGAUGAGACAUGUUGCAGCUGUUGGUGAAACUUAUGCCAAAACUGCUUUUGAAGAUUUUUCAUGGAACGUCUGGCUAAGUCCAUAUUUAGCUAGGACAUCUACUUCGAAGUUCGAACAACCCUUCUACAAGUGAUAUAAGACAACAAGGGCAUGAUUGUGGUUCAGUUACUUGUCAAAUUUACUUACAAUGGUUGAAAUGGGCCGUGAAGUUCUUCCCCGUGUUCCAGAUGAAUUAAUAUUGUGGGCAUCGCUUUUUUUCUUAUUUAAAUCAAUUUUUGUGUUUAUUUUUGUAUAUUGUAAGUUUCAUUCCUGAUGAUAGCUGCUUGUACUACUCGAGAACACUAAUCAAGUUUUUAUUGUUAUAUUGAUUUUAGGCCUAAAUUGGAACAUAUACAAAAUCAUAUUUAAUAAGAUUGUAAAGCAGUUGAUGGUUAUUUUGA
This is a long non-coding RNA of Helianthus annuus (common sunflower), 1873 nucleotides long. RefSeq lists it as uncharacterized. The transcript has 4 exons. The record is from RefSeq and is a predicted model, not a curated record. Lineage: Eukaryota; Viridiplantae; Streptophyta; Magnoliopsida; Asterales; Asteraceae.